UUUCCGUAGGUGAACCUGCGGAGGGAUCAUUACCUAUUUAACAACUAACAACCUCCAGCGAACAUACUCACCGUUGCUUUGGCGGGACCGCCCCGCCGCCCCCGGGGUCAUGGAACCAGUCGCCUGGCGGAGGUCCCAAAUUCUUGCUGACACCAUAGCGGCAUAUUCUUUGUCUCACAAUAAAAAUGCAACAAAACUUUCAACAACGGAUCAUUUAGCUCUGACAUCGAUUGAAACCGAAGCAGAACAGAUGACCACAAGUCUGAACUUCGGUCACUC
RNAcentral lists this unclassified non-coding RNA (279 nucleotides) under plant metagenome. RNAcentral's name for it is "partial contains small subunit ribosomal RNA, internal transcribed spacer 1, and 5.8S ribosomal RNA". The record is from RNAcentral.